CUGAGAUGGCUUUACCCACUGUCUGGUGGCUGGGGCUCUCUCCACGUGCUGUCUGAUCAUUCGGUAUUUUAACUGGAUUUCUGUACUUGGCAGUGGGUGUUCUAAAGGGGAAAGGUAGAAGUUGCAGGGCCUCUUGCAGUCUAGGCUCUGAAGUCGCAUGAUGUUACAUCUUUUGCAUUCUGUUGGUUAAAGCAAGUAACAAGGACAGUCCAGAUUUAAGGGGUCAGGGGAAAAGUCUCACCUUUGGAUUAAGAGGAGCAGCAAAGUCAAUUUCAUAAAUGACCUUAAGAAUGUAAGUAAAGCCCUAGCUGGUUUGGCUGAGUGGAUAGAGUGUUGGCCUGUGGACUGAAGAGUCCCAGGUUCGAUGUCAUGAAUGCAGCUGCUGGCUGUGGCUGGCAAGUCUGAAAUGGCCUUACCCACUGUCUGGGGACUGGUGGCUGGGGCUCUCUCCACGUGCUGUCUGAUCAUUCAGUAUUUUAACUGGAUUUCUAUACUUGGCAGUGGGUGUUCUAAAGGGGAAAGGUAGAAGUUGUAGGGUCCUGGUUUCGAUUCUGGUCAAGGGCACAUGCCCGGGUUGCAGGCUCGAUCCCCAGCGGGGGGCUUGCAGGAGGCAGCCGAUCAAUGAUUCUCUCUCAUCAUUGAUGUUUUCUCUCUCCCUUCCUUUCUGAAAUCAAUAAAAAUAUUAAAAAAUAAAAAAUAAAUGAGGCCCUCUUAUAAAAAAUGUAAAUAGACACAAGAGGGGACAUGACAAUGGUAGCAAUCUGUCACAUAAAAAUGACAAUAGGUUUAAUAGAUUGGUUGGAUGUCCUUUUUGUUCUUACAUUUUCCUAUGUUCUGAAUUUGGUAAGUCUGGUGUAUUUCUUUGUGAAAAAAUUCAGAGUUGGCUUCUAUGAACUCUGGACCUUUUCCUCACUAGUACAGUUUUGUAGACUAAAUUUCCAGGCACUUUAGUCAUUUGGUGUAUUGUUUUUAAAUAUCUAAAUAGUAUUUUAGCAAUGGGUCACCUCCUAGAGAGGAGCCUCUCCUUACUCCUGCUUUAACACGUUUCCCUACAUUGCCUCAAGUUAAAAAUCACCCGGAAUACUCUCUCCAGAGAGAUUCUUGGGCCUCAAUCCAGACCUACUGAGUCCAUUUCCAGGGCAGAUGUCCCAUGAUCCUCAUCAGGCAACUUUGGGAAUAAUUACACAAGAGUAAGUUGAAUUCUGCUCACAUUGAGUCACUGUGCUAAUGCCCCUUACCCCGUUCUCCUCUUGUUUAAUCUGAAAUUGUCUAAUGAUACACAUGGUCACAUUUGAAACAUCUUUGGUAAUACAGUAUAUGGUUUAUUACAGGUAGAAGAAUUUGGUUUGAACACCGACCUAAAUAAUUGAUUUUGCUGAGAAUGAAUGUGUGCCUGCAGAGUUACCUUGUCUGAGGGAAAUUGUAUCUUCUCUUGGACUGUCCUAAAGCUGGGGAUACAUUCAUUUUUAAAAAUCAAUGCCCAGUAGAAUAAUUUGGAAACCUACCAAGGGAGAGAGUAGGCUUCUGAACAAUUUAUAUUUUCUUUGUACUUGGGGAAAAUGUUCUCAAAACAUCCAUCUACCCAACUGUUCAGGACCAUAAUAAUUGUCCCUGUCUGUGGCUUCUACUAACUCUACAGCUUUAUAUACCUGAACUUUGCUCUUUUUCCCCCCGUAUGUUUCUGAAAACUCAGGAGGAGCUAAGCUGUUAACAUAUUUCAUCAAGAAAUGUGUCUUGAUGGUUUCUAACUCCAAAAUUUCAAAUGUUGUCAUAGCAAACCCCCGAUUGGAUGUACCUGUAUUUUACGAUGACUUAGAAACUUCUUUUGCAAGUCAGCAAAAGUUGUAGAAUGAUUUGAGUUUAUUUUUGGAAGAUACACGGUAACAAGAGUUCAUGAGUUCUGCGUCCCAGCCUGGACGCUGACCAUGGAGAAGUAGAUGCCCUUCUGUGCAAGCAGCUGCUGAUGGGUGCCGUGCUCCCUGAUCUUGCCGUUCUGAAACACCACGAUCAGGUCUGCGUUCUGGAUGGUGGACAGGCGGUGGGCGAUCACAAUGCAGGUGCGGCCUUCUCUGGCUUUGUCCAGGGCUUCUUGGACAAUCUAUUAAUAAAUCAGGUCAGAAGUCUUACCUUAAUUAUAUAAAUAGGUGUUAGCAUUAAAGGAAAUUAAAAAAUGUUACCAUCCAAGCAAUAAAAUUUCUUUCAUUUCUUAUCUCUUUGAAUAUUUGCCUUUAUACCUGUGUAUUAAUAUAACUUGACAUUCCAUACAGUUAUGUUCUUUUCAAUUAUAGUAAAAAUGGGUUGUCACUAUAAUCUUCACAAGUAGUUAAAACUUCUAACUAGUCACAAAAUAUAUUGCUUAACUAGUUCCCUUUUAUUGAGUAUUGUUUUCCGUUAGAAUUAAUAUGCUAAAACGAUUUAUGCAGCCUUUUCUUUUGAAUGCGUUACUUUUAGUGUGUUUCUAAAAGUAAUAAUGAUCAUUUUAGAAAAAUUGGAAAAUACUGAAAGGAAUAAGAAAAUAUUCUACCUCAAAAUAACCACUGUCUAAAUUUCUAUUUACUUUUUUCUGUGCUUGCAGAUUAUUUUUUUUCAUGGCUAAUAGCACAAAAACCUGUUUUACAAAUUAAAUGGGAAGUGAGGUGGAAGGCCAUACUUUUUCACUUUCAGUAUCCAGAGCGGAUGUAGCUUCAUCCAACAGCAGGAUUCGAGGUUGUCUGAUGAGGGCCCGGGCAAUCGCAAUCCUCUGUUUUUGACCUCCAGAGAGUUGAGUCCCCUUAUCUCCCACUUUAGUGUCAUAUUUCUGCAAGUCGGUCAACAAAAUUAAUUAAGGUCCUAACCCAGCAAAAUUACUAAUGUUAUAAUGAGUAAACUUUUACUUAACAUAUGACACUACUACUUAUAUGGAAAAAUAAUUUGGAAUCAAUAAAAAGUUUCUGUAACAG
Long non-coding RNA from Myotis daubentonii (Daubenton's bat), 2939 nucleotides. RefSeq lists it as uncharacterized. The record is from RefSeq and is a predicted model, not a curated record. NCBI's taxonomy places the organism in Eukaryota, Metazoa, Chordata, Mammalia, Chiroptera, Vespertilionidae.